RNAcentral lists this long non-coding RNA (448 nucleotides) under Elaeis guineensis (African oil palm). Its description in RNAcentral is "long non-coding RNA (EGUI_LNC081570)". Lineage: Eukaryota; Viridiplantae; Streptophyta; Magnoliopsida; Arecales; Arecaceae. The record is from RNAcentral.
GAGAGAGAGAGAGAGAGAGAGAGAGAGAGAGAGAGUUCUAGGAAAGUUGAUAAGGGCUUUUUGAUGCUGCUGCUGCGAUAGGUGAAAUAGUUAUAGUGGCUUUCUUGAUACCGAAACAUCCAUUCUUCUAGCAGGAAGAUGAUGACAGUAGUUAAAACAUCACAAUCAACAUUGUUUGUAAUAAUUGGUCUCAUUGAUAGCUUGCCUGAAGGAGAGGACCACACAGCAGCCAGGGCCCCCACCACUACUGUUUAAAAGGGUCUGUAAUUCUGAAUGCAUGAAUAGAAAACUGAACUUGGACUCCAGAUAGAACCCAUGUUCAAAGGACUAGGGGUUUGUUUAUUUUGGAUUUCCUGUUCAUCUACUACGUUAUAAAAUAAAAAAUUUGGAGGACAGAUUCUAGUUUUGGUGAAAUUUGGAACAUUCAUGCUCGGUACCUCUAAAAUGC